RNAcentral lists this transfer RNA (73 nucleotides) under Lytechinus variegatus (green sea urchin). RNAcentral's name for it is "tRNA-Ala". It matches the Rfam family "tRNA". From Rfam's summary of the family: Transfer RNA (tRNA) molecules are approximately 80 nucleotides in length. Lineage: Eukaryota; Metazoa; Echinodermata; Echinoidea; Temnopleuroida; Toxopneustidae. RNAcentral also lists the same sequence under 2 other names. The record is from RNAcentral.
GGGGAACUAGCUCAGAUGGUAGAGCGCUCGCUUAGCAUGCGAGAGGUACCGGGAUCGAUGCCCGGGUUCUCCA